This 77-nucleotide ribosomal RNA is filed under the name Kaloula kalingensis (Kalinga narrowmoouth toad). Its description in RNAcentral is "partial 16S ribosomal RNA". Lineage: Eukaryota; Metazoa; Chordata; Amphibia; Anura; Microhylidae. The record is from RNAcentral.
GCAAGAAACCCAGCUCUACCGCCUAAAACCAACGCAACAACUUUAUUUAACAAAACAAAACAUUUUAAACACCCAGU